UACGGACAUAUCACGUUGAAACACCAGUUCCCGUACAAUCAUCGAAGUUAAGCAACGUCAAGCCUGGCCAGUAUCUAGAUGGGUGACCGCUUGGGAAUUUAUGUGAGUUGC
RNAcentral lists this ribosomal RNA (111 nucleotides) under Acanthosepion pharaonis. Lineage: Eukaryota; Metazoa; Mollusca; Cephalopoda; Sepiida; Sepiidae. The record is from RNAcentral.